UUAAGGCCCAUUCACAUACAAUUUUUCUCGCUUUACGUGACUGUUCAUACCGAACUAACGAAGAGCAGAGAACAAAGGGUAUGUCGCAAUGAACGUUUUGCUUGUAAUAAAAAUUGCGUUGGUUUCUUGGCAAAGCAUAAAAAGAUAAGAGUUGCUCAACAUUUUGCUUGGCUUCGCGUCGAAAACUUUUUAUGUGGACGUUCCCAUAAAAAAGCGUACAUCGAAGCAAAAGUUCUAUGUAAAUUGGCCAUUAUUUUCCCUUUUUUUGUCGGAAACGCGUUCGGUAACAGCGGUUGGUAUUGUUGAAGAUCAGGGAACCUUUAUCAGCUUAAAAAGAUGUUUCUUCUUAGCCUUACAUUAAACUAACAAAAACCUAUGCUGUCUUCUAUCACAAAGGUACAAACGUGUUUAUUUUUUGUUUACAUAAUGCUAAAUUGAGAUAUAAUUUUAAAUAUUUUGUUGUUGUCGAGAUCGCCCUCUUAAUAUUUUACAGGCAAUUCAAACAAAAUAAUAUUUAAGAUGUUUCGUCAAGGUCAAGCAGCCGAUAAAUUCCUGCUAAAUGGUUCUGGGCUCUCAUUUAAAUAAAACAAAAUUAUGAAGGACGAUUGUUGUAAUUACAAAAACAAUAUAUCGAUGCGCAUACCUGCGUUCAUAUGCAAUUGUAUGCCAUACAAAUUUAUAAAAAUCUCUUAAUUUUUCGUAUUUAAAUUGUCAUGAUUGAAAUCAAUAAUGAGAAAUUGUAAUUGUAUACUUUUUAUCUAUACUUCAUGGAUUUUCCGCAUUAGUUUUGUUCCUAUUCAUUUUCUACUUCGAACCGGUUUGUAGUUCAAAUUUGGAAAUAAAAAUAGUAUUUUUUUUGUAACGGCUGACAAUUUUUAUAAUUAGCUAAAAAUGCAAGACAGAAACGCUUAUGAAUGCCACAGUUCUAAAAGUGAGCGGCAUACCGUUGUAUACACAGAUGAAAAUGUACCAGUUUAUAAAUUGACAAUUGUGAAGCUGCCUAAAAACGUAACUUUAUUAUUAUUAUAUUGUUGCAAUUCUGUGGCAUUUAUCGAAAUCAUUUCUUUCACAUUAAAAAUAAUUACCAAAUAUAUAAUCCUUAGCUUAAAUCGGUAAGGAUAAAGCAACAUUUUUCUAAAUUUGGUCAAAUUAUAAAUGUGGAGAUAUUGUAUGGUAAAACUCGAUCCAUUCCAGCGCAAUGCAUUAUACAUUAUCAAAAUGCGAAAGACGCAGGCGCGUGAGCAAAUCUAUUCUGUUUUUUUGCAAGAAUAUUGCGGUUAACCAUAAAUUUUCAGUGCUUUAAAACAGAAAUAUCACACAAUCAACCACCAACGUGUUAGAGUGCAACCAUGUCCAAGUUGGGAACAGCCGUAUUUAAUGGAACAUUUAUUUAAGUCCAACAACAAUGUGAAUUUACUUAUGCUGAACGAUUACUGUUUAGAAAUGAUUUUUCAACACCUUGACUUGCGCCAGCAACUACGUCUAUCGUUAUGCCAUCCACGAUUGGAAAAUAUCUUCACAUAUAUGAUUUGUCCACGAUUACAACGAAAUUGUUAUUUGGAAGUACUUUUACAAUUUUCAACAUGGGAGUUGCGUCAGUUUCUUAAAACUGCAGGUAUAUAUAUGGAGCGAUUUGUAAUUGCAAAAGAAUACCCUAGCUUUAGGUCUAGAAUGAGUAUAUGUGCCUUAUUGCAAGAAUGUGGUUUGCGUAUUAAUAGCCUACAUCUUAUCGCAUGGAUGCCCUGGCAAUAUAGUGCUUUCCUUGUUUCGUUACAACUAAGUGCUAUAAAUGAACUGGAAUUGUACAAUUGCAAUUUAACAGAUAUAGAUUUGCAAUGUUUGCUUAAAUUACGUAAUCUCAAAGUACUCGGUUUAGCCGGUAAUUAUCACAUACAGGGCACACAUUUGAAGUAUUUCCGAAAUUUGGAAAGAUUGAGUUUGUGCGGUUGUGAAGAAAUUACCAACGACGCACUUUCUCAGUGCUGUCGGCAUUUACAGUUAAGUUUCUUAGAUAUACGUUUGGGGAAUAGCAUUCUUACGGAAACAGUAGUAGAAUUGUGCAAAACUUUGGAUACAUUAAAAUUGACACGCUUCACUGAAACUAUUGCCAAAUUACCAAAAUUAAGGUCAUUGGAGGUACACCACACUAACUCAUUACAACCAGUUUUUAUAAUGCUCUUGUCGAAUAUCAUGCUGAUAAUUUACUUGAGUUAAAAUUGACUGGUGAAACAUACCUAAUGCUUCCGACUGUGGCUAGGAUUGUACGUUUGCACAAAUUACGUACCCUAUGGUUAGGAGAUCACAUAUACAACGGAUCAAAACAAGUUGUCCAACUUGUCACAAAGCUGAGUGAUUUGGAAGAGAUCAGCUUACAGUAUUCCCUACGAAUAAGAGAUCAACAUUUACUGCCGCUCAUAAUUAAAUGUACCAAAUUGAAACGUAUCAAUUUACGUAUGUGUCGUUAUAUCACAACUAAUUUUAUUUGGAGCACAUUAGAAAUACUAUCACAGCGUGUAACUGCUGCUCAGCCACUCAUUAUUUUAGUUUACGGUACAUGCAUUAAUGCUGAUAUUUUACGGUCUUCAGGCUAUCAUAAAAACCGCCAUUUAUUGAAAUUAUUGUUCCAUGGUGAUAAAUCGCUAAUGGGUCUUGUUAAUGAAGGCAGUCCGUUUGACAUUAACGAUUCUGAGUUGAAUCGCACUACCAUUGAUACAAUUGAUGUUAAAAUUAUGAAUGAUUCAUAUAGUGAAACCGAAAAUGAGGACGGAGAGAACAGUCGCUAUAACAACAACAACGACUCUGCAAGAUAUUAUGAUUUAGCAUGAAUAAAAUAAACACUUGGAUGCUUUUUUUUUAUUGGUAUUGAUUUUUUUUUAUACUUUUCAUCUCGUUUUUUUUCUGUCGAAAAUGAAUGAAUAUAUAUGUAUUAUUUUCUGGAAAUAAAAUUAUAUUUAUUAUUAUACUGAUGUAGGAUGUUCUUUUAUAUUUAGAUGCAUAUAAUUUCCAAGAACGAUAGUUGUCAAAGUAAAUACAUAUCCUCAGCGCUGUGUUGUAUUCGCAUUAACUCGUCCUUGAAGCCAAUGUUAUCCCUAAUGGUGGGUGCUACAUAUACAUACAUACAUAUAUGGUUCGCAGCUUUUCAGUUAACCAUGUGUAUGUUAAUCACAAUGUAACUUUGUUUUAAACGAGACGAUAAGGAACUUAGUAUUGGACAAAUAUGUCAAAUAGUAAGACCCCUGUACAUCAAAUGCCACAAAAUACGACGAGUUCACUAAUCCUGUGCUAUAUUCAAAUAUUUUAUUUCCAAAAUUUUAUUUAUGACAAUAAUAAUUUUUAACUAAAAAACUACUUUGUUUUGAAUGAAAUACUGAAAGU
Molecule: non-coding RNA, 3375 nt
Organism: Bactrocera oleae (olive fruit fly)
Lineage: Eukaryota; Metazoa; Arthropoda; Insecta; Diptera; Tephritidae
Source: RefSeq, a predicted model, not a curated record